AACAGCCGAUUGCUGACCCGAGAUGGCCGAAUGAGGAAUCCUGAUGAGAAGCCCAUAUUUAUCGAGUCACAGGCGCCAGUGCCAGCUGCAGAACCAGAACCCAUCCCAGUAAAACUACCUGCAAAACAAGCCCAGGAAGUGCCUGCUCCCCUAGCAGAUGAAGCUCCCAAGGUUGAAGCCCGUUCGAAAGGGCCUGUGAAGUCGCUCAAGGCAAAAGCUGCUCUGGAUGCUGAUGAUGAUUACGAGGUCGAGCCUCCAAAGGAAAAGGCGAAGCCUACAACAGCUGAUGUGGCAAAGUUGAAAGAGAUCAAGAGGCAGGAGGAGAUUGAGAAGAACAAGCUUGCGUUGGAGAGGAAGAAGAGGCAAGCUGAGAAGCAGGCAGCUAAGGCGGCGGCUCGAGCACAGAAGGACGCUGAGAAGAAGCUGAAGGUACUACAUAUCUCUGUUUCUUGUUGUCUGUCUCUCACAACCAUUCGAUCUAUACUGUAACAAUGCCUCAACUAAUUCUUUCAGAAAGAGGAGAAGAAAGCCAAGAAGAAAUCCGGAGCAGCUGACACUGAUGAGCCCUCUGAAUCAGACGCCAAGUCUGAUGAAGCCACGGAAACCCAGGCUGAGGAAGUAGCAGCCCCAGCUUCGACCACAUUGAAGAAAGAACAGAAGGAGAAUGCCCGGUACAGGAAUGUGGUCAGCCGGAGCAAGGCCCCGCCACCAAAGGCUCUCCUGAAGAGGAAGAAGGCACAGUCCUACUGGUCAUGGGCCGGCCCGGCUGCUGCAGUCGCCGCUGCGGUGCUGGUCGCCCUCCUCGCUGUGCUGGGCUACUACCAGUACUACCUCCCGGCGAGCGCCAGCAACUAGAGGGUUGAGGGGAGGGCCUGUUCCACUUGCUGCCACGCCCCUGAAUGAUGUGGAGACCAAUUUUGCAGGCG
Molecule: long non-coding RNA, 926 nt
Filed under: Setaria viridis
Lineage: Eukaryota; Viridiplantae; Streptophyta; Magnoliopsida; Poales; Poaceae
Description: long non-coding RNA (SVIR_LNC002061)
Source: RNAcentral